Molecule: ribosomal RNA, 799 nt
Filed under: uncultured cyanobacterium
Lineage: Bacteria; Bacillati; Cyanobacteriota
Description: bacterial SSU rRNA
Rfam family: Bacterial small subunit ribosomal RNA (bases 201-799)
Source: RNAcentral
ACCCCGUACCGUCCUGUCGUUCUUAUCGAGUAUCUCGCANCUGGCCUGCACGCCGACCGUUGGUGUCACUCUGCGGGACUGCCCGCCUCCCGCGGUCACGACCGCUUCGUCCCAUGCGCUUCGAACGCAUCAGAUCACGGCUUAUUUAUGCGCUUUCCCUCGUUCAGCGAUCACCUCAUCGAUAAUUCCUCGUCUCGCUCCGUUGGUCACCAGAUCCCCAUCGAAAGGAAUGACGGCGCGCACAAACACGCGCGACCCGGUGGCCUAUUUGAAGUACGGCGAGUACUCUACACGUACUGACUUCUUCGACACUCCGGGAUAGGAGUCUUCCUUUGGGGUACAGAGCGCAGCUGGGCAUGGUAUGGUCGGUCGUGUGUGAGACCUGGGUUAAUCCAGCAACGAGCGCAANCUUGAUUUUAGUUGGCAGCAUCUAGUUGGGCACUUUAACGCAAUUGCCGGUGUCAAACCGGAGGCACGGUGGGGAAGANGUCAAAAUCAGCACGCCCAUUAUGUCCAGGGNUACCAANGUGUUACACCCGCUAGGGGACCACGGGUAGGUUGGCACUGAUAUUNGGAAUAUACCACAAACUUCCCAUCAGUUCGGAUCGUAGUCUGCAACUCGACUGCGUGAAGUCGGAAUCGCUAGUAAACGCAGAUCAGCACGCUGCGUUGAAUACGUUCCCGGGCCUUGUACACACCGCCUGUCAAACAAUGGAAGUUGGGAGUAUCUAAAGUCGGUAGCUGAAAGGCGCCGCCUAGGGUAAAACCAAUGACUGGCUGUUAAGUCGUAACAAGGUAA